This 485-nucleotide ribosomal RNA is filed under the name uncultured bacterium. Its description in RNAcentral is "partial 16S ribosomal RNA". It matches the Rfam family "Bacterial small subunit ribosomal RNA", at positions 28 to 507 of the family's 1533-position model. The record is from RNAcentral.
GAUGAACGCUGGCGGCGUGCCUAAUACAUGCAAGUCGAACGCUGGAGAUCUAGCUUGCUAGAUCGAAGGAGUGGCGAACGGGUGAGUAAUACAUAAGCAACCUACCCACGAAGACUGGGAUAAUCUCUGGAAACGGGGACUAAUACCGGAUAGGUAAUCGGAAGGCAUCUUCUGGUUAUUAAAGGUUAAAAACACUGGUGGAUGGGCUUAUGGCGCAUUAGUUAGUUGGUGAGGUAACGGCCCACCAAGACGAUGAUGCGUAGCCGGCCUGAGAGGGUGAACGGCCACAUUGGGACUGAGACACGGCCCAGACUCCUACGGGAGGCAGCAGUAGGGAAUUUCGGCAAUGGGGGCAACCCUGACCGAGCAACGCCGCGUGAGUGAAGACGGCCUUCGGGGUGUAAAGCUCUGUUGUAAGGGAAGAACGGUAGAUAGAGAAUAUCUAAGUGACGGUACCUUACCAGAAAGCCACGGCUAACUACGUG